AUAUUUUUAAUAUUUAUAUAAUAUUAACAUAAUUCAUAUUACUAUAAUUUUUAUUAGUAUAUGAAAUUUUACUUUGAGAAAAUUAGAGUGCUUAAAGCAGGCAUAUGCCUUGAAUACUCCAGCAUGGAAUAAUAUAAAAGAUUUUUAUCUUUUUUAUUGGUUCUAAGAUAAAAAUAAUGAUUAAUAGGGACAGUUGGGGGCAUUUGUAUUUAACAGUCAGAGGUGAAAUUCUUAGAUUUGUUAAAGACAAACUAGUGCGAAAGCAUUUGCCAAGGAUGUUUUCAUUAAUCAAGAACGAAAGUU
RNAcentral lists this ribosomal RNA (303 nucleotides) under Cryptosporidium suis. RNAcentral's name for it is "partial small subunit ribosomal RNA". It matches the Rfam family "Eukaryotic small subunit ribosomal RNA", at positions 684 to 991 of the family's 1831-position model. The record is from RNAcentral. Lineage: Eukaryota; Apicomplexa; Conoidasida; Eucoccidiorida; Cryptosporidiidae.